CCUGGUUGAUCCUACCAGUAGUCAUAUGCUUGUCUUAAAGAUUAAGCCAUGCAUGUGUAAGUAUGAACUAAUUCAAACUGUGAAGCUGUGAAUGGCUCAUUAAAUCAGUUAUAGUUUGUUUGAUGAUAUCUACUACUUGGAUAACCAUAAUAAUUCUAGAGCUAAUACGUGUAACAAACCUCGACUUCUAGAAGGGAUGCAUUUAUUAGAUAAAAGGUCGACGCGGGCUAUGCCCGUUGCUCUGAUGAUUCAUGAUAACUCGACGGAUCGCACGCCUUUAUGCUAGCGACGCAUCAUUCAAAUUUCUUCCCUAUCAACUUUCGAUGCUAGGAUAGUGACCUAUAUGGUGGUGAUGGGUGAUAGAGAAUUAGGGUUCGAUUCCGAAGAGGGAGCUUGAGAAAUGGCUACCACAUCCAACGAAGGCAGCAGGCGUGCAAAUUACCCAAUCCUGAUAGGGAGAGGUAGUGACAAUAAAUAACAAUACCUGGCUCUAUGAGUCUGGUAAUUGGAAUGAGUACAAUCUAAAUCCCUUAACGAGGAUCUAUUGGAGGGCAAGUUUGAUGCUAGCAGCCACAGUAAUUCUAGCUCCAAUAGCGUAUAUUUAAGUUGUUGUAUUUAAAAGGCUCAUAGUUGGAACUAGGGUAGGGUCGUCUGGUCUGCCUUAUGGUGAGCACCGGUCUACUUGUCCUUACUACCGACGAUGCACUCCUGGACUUAAUUACCCAGGUCAUUCCUUCAGCACUGUUACUUUGAAGAAAUUAGAGUGCUUAAAGUAGGCCUACGCUUGUAUACAUUAGCGUGGGAUAACAUCAUAGGAUUUCAGUCCUAUUGUGUUGGCCUUCAGGAUCGGAGUAAUGAUUAACAGGGAUAGUCAGGGGCAUUCGUACUAAAUAGUCAGAGGUGAAAUUCUUGGAUUUAUGAAAAAAGAAAAACGAACAACUGUGAAAGCAUUUUCCAAAGAUGUUUUCAUUAAUCAAGAAUGAAAGUUGAGGGCUCGAAGACAAUCAGAUACCAUCCUAGUCUCAACCAUAAACGAUGCCGACUAGAGAUCGAUGGAUGUUACUUUUAGGACUCUGUCGGCACCUUAUGAGAAAUCAAAGUUUUUGGGUUUUGGGGGGAGUAUGGUCGCAAGGCUGAAACUUAAAGGAAUUGAUGGAAGGGCACCACCAGGAGUGGAGCCUGUGGCUUAAUUUAACUCAACAGGGGGAAACUUACCAGGUCCAGACAUAGUACGGAUUGAUAGAAUGAAAGCUCUUUCUUGAUUCUAUGGGUGGUGGUGUAUGGCCGUUCUUAGUUGGUAGAGCGAUUUGUCUGGUUAAUUUCGUUAACGAAUGAGACCUCAACCUGCUAACUAGCUAUACAAAGGUGAUCUUCUAUGGCUAGCUUCUUAGAGGGACUAUGGCCACUUAGGCCAAGGAAGUUUAAGGCAAUAACAGGUUUGUGAUGCCCUUAGAUGUUUUGCGCCACACGCGCACUACACUGAUGUAUUCAAUGAGUCUAUAGCCUUGGUCGACAGGCUCGAGUAAUCUUUGAAAUUUCAUUAUGAUGGGAUAGAUCAUUGCAAUUGUUGGUCUUCAACGAGAAAUUCCUAGUAAGCGCGAGUCAUCAGCUGGUGUUGACUACGUCCUUACCCUUUGUGCACAUUGCCCGUCGUUCCUAUAGAUUGAAUGGUUUGGUAAAGUGUUCGGAUCGCAGUGACGUGGAUGGUUUACCGCCCGCAACGUCACAAGAAGUCUACUAAACCUUAUCAUUUAGAGGAAGGAGAAGUCGUAACAAGGUUUCUGUAGGUGAACCUACGGAAG
RNAcentral lists this ribosomal RNA (1802 nucleotides) under Durio zibethinus. RNAcentral's name for it is "SSU rRNA". It matches the Rfam family "Eukaryotic small subunit ribosomal RNA". Lineage: Eukaryota; Viridiplantae; Streptophyta; Magnoliopsida; Malvales; Malvaceae. The record is from RNAcentral.